GAUGAAGAACGUAGCGAAAUGCGAUAAGUAGUGUGAAUUGCAGAAUUCAGUGAAUCAUCGAAUCUUUGAACUCACAUUGCGGCCAUAGGUAUUCCUUUGGCCAUGCCUGUUCGAGCGUCAUUUACACCCUCAAGCCUAGCUUGGUGUUGGGCGUCUGUCCCGCCGUUCUCGCGCGCGGACUCGCCUCAAAGUCAUUGGCGGCGGUCGUGCCGGCCCCCUCGCGCAGCACAUUUGCGCUUCUCGGAGGCCCGGCGGAUCCGCGCUCCAGCAAGACCUUUCACGACUUGACCUCGGAUCAGGUAGGGAUACCCGCUGAACUUAAGCAUAUCAAUAAGCGGAGGA
This 342-nucleotide unclassified non-coding RNA is filed under the name soil metagenome. Its description in RNAcentral is "partial contains 5.8S ribosomal RNA, internal transcribed spacer 2, and large subunit ribosomal RNA". The stretch from base 1 to 120 matches the Rfam family "5.8S ribosomal RNA", at positions 35 to 154 of the family's 154-position model. The record is from RNAcentral.